This 497-nucleotide ribosomal RNA is filed under the name uncultured bacterium. RNAcentral describes it as "partial 16S ribosomal RNA". It matches the Rfam family "Bacterial small subunit ribosomal RNA", at positions 28 to 507 of the family's 1533-position model. The record is from RNAcentral.
GAUGAACGCUGGCGGCGUGCCUAAUACAUGCAAGUCGAGCGAACAGACGAGGAGCUUGCUCCUCUGACGUUAGCGGCGGACGGGUGAGUAACACGUGGAUAACCUACCUAUAAGACUGGGAUAACUUCGGGAAACCGGAGCUAAUACCGGAUAAUAUAUUGAACCGCAUGGUUCAAUAGUGAAAGACGGUUUUGCUGUCACUUAUAGUUGGAUCCGCGCCGCAUUAGCUAGUUGGUAAGGUAACGGCUUACCAAGGCAACGAUGCGUAGCCGACCUGAGAGAGUGAUCGGCCACACUGGAACUGAGACACGGUCCAGACUCCUACGGGAGGCAGCAGUAGGGAAUCUUCCGCAAUGGGCGAAAGCUUGACGGAGCAACGCCGCGUGAGUGAUGAAGGUCUUCGGAUCGUAAGACUCUGUUAUUAGGGAGGAACAAAUGUGUAAGUAACUAGGCACGUCUUGACGGUACCUAAUCAGAAAGCCACGGCUAACUACGUG